Molecule: unclassified non-coding RNA, 251 nt
Filed under: plant metagenome
Description: partial contains small subunit ribosomal RNA, internal transcribed spacer 1, and 5.8S ribosomal RNA
Rfam family: Eukaryotic small subunit ribosomal RNA (bases 1-54)
Source: RNAcentral
GGAAGUAAAAGUCGUAACGAGGUCUCCGUAGGUGAACCUGCGGAGGGAUCAUUACAGAGUUCAUGCCCUACCGGGUAGAUCUCCCACCCUAUGUUAUUAUUACUUUGUUGCUUUGGCGGGCCGUUAGGCUCCGGCCCGACUACCGGCCCCGGCUGGUAAGCGCCCGCCAGAGGACCCAAAACCCUGAAUAUUAGUGUCGUCUGAGUACUAUAUAAUAGUUAAAACUUUCAACAACGGAUCUCUUGGUUCUG